GACGAACGCUGGCGGCGUGCUUAACACAUGCAAGUCGAACGGAAAGGCUCUAGCUUGCUGGUGUGCUCGAGUGGCGAACGGGUGAGUAACACGUGGGCAAUCUGCUCUGCACUUUGGGAUAAGCCUGGGAAACUGGGCCUAAUACCGGAUAGGAUCUUUCCCCUCAUGGGGUUUGGUGGAAAUUUUUGCGGUGCAGGAUGAGCUCGCGGCCUAUCAGCUUGUUGGUGGGGUAAUGGCCUACCAAGGCGACGCCGGGUAGCCGGCCUGAGAGGGUGAUCGGCCACAUUGGGACUGAGAUACGGCCCAGACUCCUACGUGAGGCAGCGGUGGGGAAUAUGGCACAAUGGGCGAGAGCCUGAUGCAGCGGCGCCGCGUGAGGGAUGACGGCCUUCGGGUUGUAAACCUCUUUCAGUAGAGACGAAGCGCAAGUGACGGUACCUGCAGAAGAAGCACCGGCUAACUACGUG
This 467-nucleotide ribosomal RNA is filed under the name uncultured bacterium. RNAcentral describes it as "partial 16S ribosomal RNA". It matches the Rfam family "Bacterial small subunit ribosomal RNA", at positions 28 to 507 of the family's 1533-position model. The record is from RNAcentral.